AUGGACCCCAGGCCAGUGUGGUUGGUGGCCGUUUGUGUCCUGGGAGCAGGCCCUGUUGAUUCCGGAGCUGCAGAUGGCAGAGUCUCCCACAACCCCAGACACCUACUGGCACAGAAGGGGAUGGAGGCGACCCUGAGCUGUGAACAGACUAAGGGUCACAGUCACAUGUACAGGGAAAACAGCCCUGAACAGGGAGAAGGCCCAGUCUGCCCCGACCCUGCCAUGGGCCCCAGGCCAGUGUGGCUGCUGGCCAUUUGUGUCCUGGGAGCAGGCUCCGUGGACACAGACGUCAUCCAGACCCCCAGAUACUUGCUGGCCCAGACUGGGGAGAAGGUGAAGGUGAACUGUAAACGGCAUGAGAACCACGAGGUCAUGUACUGGUACCGGCGGGACCCGAGGCAGGGGCUGCAGCUUAUCUAUUUCUCCCAGACGAAAGGAGAUAUCCAGGAGGGAGACAUCCCACAGGGAUAUUUGGUCUCUCGGGAAGAGAAGGAGCACUUCCUCCUGACCAUGGAGUCUGUGGGCAUGAGCCAGUCAUCACUGUAUUUCUGCGCGAGCAGUGUAACCACAGCGCUGCAGUGUCCCCUCCGCCCCGUGCACGAACCACCCCCGGCCCGGGGCAGGAGCAGGGAGGAGAGAAAGGGCUGA
Non-coding RNA from Tachyglossus aculeatus (Australian echidna), 648 nucleotides. Lineage: Eukaryota; Metazoa; Chordata; Mammalia; Monotremata; Tachyglossidae. The record is from the annotation of a RefSeq genome assembly.